AUUGGGUAGGGGAGCGUUCUGUAAGCGGUUGAAGGUGUGUGGUAACGCAUGCUGGACGUAUCAGAAGUGCGAAUGCUGACAUGAGUAACGAUAAAGGGGGUGAAAAACCUCCUCGCCGGAAGACCAAGGGUUCCUGUCCAACGUUAAUCGGGGCAGGGUAAGUCGACCCCUAAGGCGAGGCCGAAAGGCGUAGUCGAUGGGAAACGGGUUAAUAUUCCCGUACUUCUUACAAUUGCGAUGGGGGGACGGAGAAGGCUAGGUGGGCCUGGCGACGGUUGUCCAGGUUCAAGUGCGUAGGCUUAAGAGUUAGGUAAAUCCGGCUCUUUUUAAGGCUGAGACACGACGUCGAGCACCUACGGGUGUGAAGUCAUUGAUGCCAUGCUUCCAGGAAAAGCCUCUAAGCUUCAGAUUGUAAGGAAUCGUACCCCAAACCGACACAGGUGGUCGGGUAGAGAAUACCAAGGCGCUUGAGAGAACUCGGGUGAAGGAACUAGGCAAAAUGGUACCGUAACUUCGGGAGAAGGUACGCUCU
This 532-nucleotide ribosomal RNA is filed under the name Vibrio parahaemolyticus. RNAcentral describes it as "bacterial LSU rRNA". It matches the Rfam family "Bacterial large subunit ribosomal RNA", at positions 1223 to 1754 of the family's 2925-position model. The record is from RNAcentral. Lineage: Bacteria; Pseudomonadati; Pseudomonadota; Gammaproteobacteria; Vibrionales; Vibrionaceae.